AGAGUUUGAUCCUGGCUCAGGACGAACGCUGGCGGCGGGCCUAACACAUGCAAGUCGAACGCACUCGACCUUCGGGUCACAUGAGUGAGUGGCGAACGGGUGAGUAACACGUGAGGAACCUGCCCCGAAGACUGGAAUAACCCGAGGAAACUCGGGCUAAUACCGGAUAUCCCCACCAGGUCGCAUGGCCAGGUGAGGAAAUGCUCCGGCGCUUCGGGAGGGUCUCGCGGCCUAUCAGCUAGUUGGUGAGGUAACGGCUCACCAAGGCAUCGACGGGUAGCUGGUCUGAGAGGACGAUCAGCCACACUGGGACUGAGACACGGCCCAGACUCCUACGGGAGGCAGCAGUGGGGAAUCUUGCGCAAUGGGCGAAAGCCUGACGCAGCCACGCCGCGUGAGGGAUGAAGGCUUUCGGGUUGUAAACCUCUUUCAGCAGGGACGAAAAUGACGGUACCUGCAGAAGAAGCUCCGGCCAACUACGUGCCAGCAGCCGCGGUAACACGUAGGGAGCAAGCGUUGUCCGGAUUUAUUGGGCGUAAAGAGCUCGUAGGCGGUUCAGUCAGUCGGGUGUGAAAACUUGAGGCUCAACCUCAAGAGGCCACUCGAUACUGCUGUGACUAGAGUCCGGUAGAGGAGUGUGGAAUUCCUGGUGUAGCGGUGAAAUGCGCAGAUAUCAGGAGGAACACCGACAGCGAAGGCAGCACUCUGGGCCGGUACUGA
RNAcentral lists this ribosomal RNA (720 nucleotides) under uncultured bacterium. RNAcentral describes it as "bacterial SSU rRNA". It matches the Rfam family "Bacterial small subunit ribosomal RNA", at positions 8 to 743 of the family's 1533-position model. The record is from RNAcentral.